AGAGUUUGAUCCUGGCUCAGGAUGAGCGCUGGCGGCGUGCUUAACACAUGCAAGUCGAACGAGAACUAAUUUUCAAUUUUCAAAAAAUUGCAAAUUGGUUCUAGUGGCGGACGGGUGAGUAACGCGUUGGUACCUGCCCCAAACACGGGAAUAACCAGCCGAAAGGUUGGCUAAUACCCGAUGGUCCCGCAAGGGUAAAGCUCCGGCGGUUUGGGAAGGGCCUGCGUCCGAUUAGCUAGUUGGUAAGGUAAUGGCUUACCAAGGCAACGAUCGGUAAUUGGUCUGAGAGGAUGACCAGUCACACUGGAACUGAGACACGGUCCAGACUCCUACGGGAGGCAGCAGUGAGGAAUAUUCGGCAAUGGGGGAAACCCUGACCGAGCGACGCCGCGUGCAGGAUGACGGCCUUCGGGUUGUAAACUGCUUUUAUUUGGGAAGAUUAUGACGGUACCAAAUGAAUAAGGGCCGGCUAACUACGUGCCAGCAGCCGCGGUAAUACGUAGGGCCCAAGCGCUAUCCGGAAUCACUGGGCGUAAAGCGUGUGUAGGUGGCGAUCUAAGUGAGGUGCGAAAUCCGAUGGCUCAACCAACGGACUGUAUUUCAAACUGGAUUGCUAGAGGUUGUCAGAGGUUAGUGGAAUUGGCGGUGUAGGAGUGAAAUCCGUAGAUAUCGCCAGGAACACCAAUGGCGAAGGCAGCUAACUGGGACAUACCUGACACUGAGACACGAAAGCGUGGGGAGCGAACGGGAUUAGAUACCCCAGUAGUCC
RNAcentral lists this ribosomal RNA (769 nucleotides) under uncultured bacterium. RNAcentral's name for it is "bacterial SSU rRNA". It matches the Rfam family "Bacterial small subunit ribosomal RNA", at positions 8 to 796 of the family's 1533-position model. The record is from RNAcentral.